ACAAUUUUACAAUUUUUCAUAGCAGACAUUAUUUAUUUAUUAUCAUUUCUAGAUGCUGAAGAAAUGCUUGGGAAUAAAGUUGAUGGAGCUGAAAGCACCCAUUCAUGGAGCAGGUAUAGGACCUGCUAUUGCCAAAAAGACCAUUGUUAUUCAUCCGGUAUUUACUAUUACUGCAACAGUGUCAGUCAUCAAAUCUGUCAGUGCCAAAACCCAGUAUAAACUUGGAGUAAAUGGUCACUUGCUAAUGGAC
Amphimedon queenslandica is the source of this 250-nucleotide long non-coding RNA. RefSeq lists it as uncharacterized. The record is from RefSeq and is a predicted model, not a curated record. NCBI's taxonomy places the organism in Eukaryota, Metazoa, Porifera, Demospongiae, Haplosclerida, Niphatidae. The transcript has 2 exons.